UUGUGUUCUUUUUUCCGCCGUGUCGCCGGCUAUUGUAACACUUGUUUUACUUUAAUGAAUGCUUUUCCUUCGCUUCUUUCUCUUUUGUUUUGACUUUGCCCUCGCACGUUGGUGCAGAUUUGCGCUACUCGGCGUCUUCUGCCGACGUUGCCCGGGCCCUUCUUGAGCUUUGCCCUCGCUCCCCGCCGCGGGCCCCCUCUUCGCCGACGCGGG
RNAcentral lists this long non-coding RNA (213 nucleotides) under Zostera marina. RNAcentral describes it as "long non-coding RNA (ZMAR_LNC002333)". The record is from RNAcentral. Lineage: Eukaryota; Viridiplantae; Streptophyta; Magnoliopsida; Alismatales; Zosteraceae.